UCUCCGUAGGUGAACCUGCGGAGGGAUCAUUACAGAGUUCAUGCCCUACCGGGUAGAUCUCCCACCCUAUGUUAUUAUUACUUUGUUGCUUUGGCGGGCCGUUAGGCUCCGGCCCGAUUACCGGCCCCGGCUGGUAAGCGCCCGCCAGAGGACCCAAAACCCUGAAUAUUAGUGUCGUCUGAGUACUAUAUAAUAGUUAAAACUUUCAACAACGGAUCCCUUGGUUCUG
RNAcentral lists this unclassified non-coding RNA (229 nucleotides) under plant metagenome. Its description in RNAcentral is "partial contains small subunit ribosomal RNA, internal transcribed spacer 1, and 5.8S ribosomal RNA". The record is from RNAcentral.